RNAcentral lists this ribosomal RNA (467 nucleotides) under uncultured bacterium. RNAcentral's name for it is "partial 16S ribosomal RNA". It matches the Rfam family "Bacterial small subunit ribosomal RNA", at positions 28 to 507 of the family's 1533-position model. The record is from RNAcentral.
GACGAACGCUGGCGGCGUGCUUAACACAUGCAAGUCGAACGGAAAGGCCCUGCUUUUGUGGGGUGCUCGAGUGGCGAACGGGUGAGUAACACGUGAGUAACCUGCCCUUGACUUUGGGAUAACUUCAGGAAACUGGGGCUAAUACCGGAUAGGAGCUCCUGCUGCAUGGUGGGGGUUGGAAAGUUUCGGCGGUUGGGGAUGGACUCGCGGCUUAUCAGCUUGUUGGUGGGGUAGGGGCUUACCAAGGCUUUGACGGGUAGCCGGCCUGGGAGGGUGACCGGCCACAGAGGGACUGAGGUAGGACCAGGACUCAUACGGGGGGAAGGAGUGGGAGAUAGUGCACGAUGGGCGGAAGGCUGAUGCAGCAACGCCGCGUGCGGAAGACGGCCUUCGGGUUGUGAACCGCUUUCGCCUGUGACGAAGCGUGAGUGACGGUAAUGAGUAAAGAAGCACCGGCUAACUACGUG